This 237-nucleotide unclassified non-coding RNA is filed under the name Ceriporiopsis sp. RNAcentral's name for it is "partial contains 5.8S ribosomal RNA, internal transcribed spacer 2, and large subunit ribosomal RNA". The stretch from base 1 to 52 matches the Rfam family "5.8S ribosomal RNA", at positions 103 to 154 of the family's 154-position model. The record is from RNAcentral. Lineage: Eukaryota; Fungi; Basidiomycota; Agaricomycetes; Polyporales; Meruliaceae. RNAcentral also lists the same sequence under 1 other name.
AACGCACAUUGCGCCCCCUGGUAUUCCGGGGGGCAUGCCUGUUCGAGCGUCAUUACACCACUCAAGCACAGCUUGGUUUUGGGCUCCGCGGACACGCGAGCCUCAAUGACACCGGCCGAGCACCCGACCUCCGAGCGUAGAAGCAUCGUUUCGCUCUCGAGUUAGGGGACCCGCGCCGCAAAAACCUCUUUAACAAAGGUUGACCUCGGAUCAGGUAGGGAUACCCGCUGAACUUAA